ACUUAUUUUUAAUAAAAGGUAAAAUUAGGAUAUUAUUAAAUAAGGGAAAUUAAUUGAAGUUGAAGCUAAAAAGAUUCAGUUAAAAACUAGGAUUAGAUACCCUAUUAUUCUGAAUUAAAAGUAGGACUACUAAACUAGUAAUAGUUAGUUACUUAAAAAUUAAAAAAUUUGGCGGUGAUUUAAUCUUUCCAGAGGAACUUGUUUCUUAAUCGAUACACCACGUAGAAUCUUACUUAUUUUUGCGUAUAUAAGCAGUUUGUAUACCAUCAUUAACAGGUAAUUCCAAGAGGACAAAUUACUAGCUUAUAAUUAGUUAGAAAAAUUAGAUCAUGGUGCAGCAUAUAAAUAAGUUGAAAUGAGUUACAAUAAAUUAUUUUAGACGGAGCAGUAAAUGAAAUUCUAUUGUAAAGGAGGAUUUGGUUGUAUUAUAAUUUUAAUAUGUUUAUAAGAUAUAAGUUCUAAAUCAUGUACAUAUCGCCCGUCGCUUUCGU
Molecule: ribosomal RNA, 491 nt
Filed under: Geograpsus lividus
Lineage: Eukaryota; Metazoa; Arthropoda; Malacostraca; Decapoda; Grapsidae
Description: partial 12S ribosomal RNA
Source: RNAcentral